GCGGAAGUGGCUCAGUGGUAGAGCAUCGCCUUGCCAAGACGAGGGUCGCGGGUUCGAACCCCGUCUUCCGCUCCA
This 75-nucleotide transfer RNA is filed under the name Paenibacillus larvae. Its description in RNAcentral is "tRNA-Gly". It matches the Rfam family "tRNA". From Rfam's summary of the family: Transfer RNA (tRNA) molecules are approximately 80 nucleotides in length. Their secondary structure includes four short double-helical elements and three loops (D, anti-codon, and T loops). Lineage: Bacteria; Bacillati; Bacillota; Bacilli; Caryophanales; Paenibacillaceae. The record is from RNAcentral.